GGAUCAUGGGUGCUCCUGGGUGUUCCUGCUCAUUUAUCACCACGAACAACCCCCAGAAGACCUCCCAGGCAGCUCAGAUGUUAUGGUCAACAGUGGAGAGGCAGCCCAUCCUGCUGCUUCAGCCCUUAGGGUGUGGACGUGGUGUUGGCAGGUAAAUGGGGGCAAGAGGGAAGAAGUGGGAUUUCCACUCACGCACGACCUGCAGCAGGGUGAGGAAUCACCCUGAGGAUUCAUCCUUCCACCCUAAUGACCCCCCAGAAGUAGCCCCAAAUGCAAGGAAGGGGUAAGGGAGAGCAGUGGGGGGCUGCAGCCGAUCCCUCAGCCUGGCAAGAGGAUUAAAAAUGGGAAGAAAAGAGGGGACACGCUUGCCCUAGGGCAUUUCCCUCCAGCAUCAGCAGUAGUUUCAGAACCUGCCUCAACAGACACGUCCGUCCCCUGGAGCCCUGCUGCACCUUGCCCUUCCUGCACCCCUGCCCCAAGCCCCACAGGCUGCUUUCGAGGCAGCAGGAUGGAGAUUGCUGCCUGCUUUAGAUGGACCCUGGCAGCUCCAUCUCCAGAGCAGCCCAGUUCUCCUCCAUCAGCAGAUUUCCAGCGGUCGGGUGGAAACCCAGCGUGAAGAUGGCCCGGGCUGUGCCAGAUGUUUGGCAUUCCUGCAAACCAGUCCGCCGGCGAUGAGUGGGAAGCAUUUGCAGACUGGGAAGCCUUCAUGGAAACUAGCGGGGGCAACUCUGACUCUCAGCCCAUCAUCCAAAGCAAGCGGUUGCGUCAGGCCUGUUGCCUGGAGACAGGCGAGCUAUUCCAGUUUGAGCUUUUCAGUCCAGAUUUCCUGUCUCUCUUUCAUUCAUACCACCAAGCCCUGAACCUACCUCCCACCAAGCAAUAACCCUGGAGAGACCUGAAAGGGAGGAGCCGCGCAGCCCGGGUCCUAGACAUCCUCCGACGCCGGCACCCAGACGAGGGAGGAGGGAUAGGGAUGCUACGGGGGAUGAAGGGACCCCAAAAACUCGCGUGAGAUGCCCGGAGAGCCUGUGGCUGCUGUCCCUGU
This 1045-nucleotide long non-coding RNA is filed under the name Anser brachyrhynchus (Pink-footed goose). RNAcentral describes it as "lncRNA (ENSABRG00000003523.1)". The record is from RNAcentral. Lineage: Eukaryota; Metazoa; Chordata; Aves; Anseriformes; Anatidae.